AGGUCACUGCUAUCGGUGUUCGUCUAAGCCAUGCGAGUCAUAUGUUCUUCGUGAACAUGGCGUACUGCUCAGUAACACGUGGAUAACCUGCCCUUGGGUCUGGCAUAACUCCGGGAAACUGGGGAUAAUACCGGAUAACGCAUAUCUGCUGGAAUUCUUUAUGCGUGAAAUGGAUUCGUCUGCCCAAGGAUGGGUCUGCGGCCUAUCAGGUAGUAGUGGGUGUAAUGUACCUACUAGCCGACGACGGGUACGGGUUGUGAGAGCAAGAGCCCGGAGAUGGAUUCUGAGACAUGAAUCCAGGCCCUACGGGGCGCAGCAGGCGCGAAAACUUUACAAUGCGGGAAACCGUGAUAAGGGGACACCGAGUGCCAGCAUUAUAUGUUGGCUGUCCGGGUGUGUAAAAUACACCUGUUAGCAAGGGCCGGGCAAGACCGGUGCCAGCCGCCGCGGUAACACCGGCGGCCCGAGUGGUGAUCGUGUUUAUUGGGUCUAAAGGGUCCGUAGCCGGUUUGGUCAAUCCUCCGGGAAAUCUGACGGCUUAACCGUUAGGCUUUCGGGGGAUACUGCCAGACUUGGAACCGGGAGAGGUAAGAGGUACUACAGGGGUAGGAGUGAAAUCUUGUAAUCCCUGUGGGACCACCUGUGGCGAAGGCGUCUUACCAGAACGGGUUCGACGGUGAGGGACGAAAGCUGGGGGCACGAACCGGAUUAGAUACCCGGGUAGUCCCAGCCGUAAACGAUGCUCGCUAGGUGUCAGGCAUGGCGCGACCGUGUCUGGUGCCGCAGGGAAGCCGUGAAGCGAGCCACCUGGGAAGUACGGCCGCAAGGCUGAAACUUAA
Molecule: ribosomal RNA, 839 nt
Filed under: uncultured archaeon
Lineage: Archaea
Description: bacterial SSU rRNA
Rfam family: Archaeal small subunit ribosomal RNA
Source: RNAcentral